RNAcentral lists this long non-coding RNA (263 nucleotides) under Elaeis guineensis (African oil palm). RNAcentral describes it as "long non-coding RNA (EGUI_LNC047405)". The record is from RNAcentral. Lineage: Eukaryota; Viridiplantae; Streptophyta; Magnoliopsida; Arecales; Arecaceae.
CGGAGACGAGGUGUAUUUUAUGAUUGUACUUCAUUAAUAAAUAUUUCUGGUUGAGGAUCAUCUUGUGCUUGCAUUUGUAGGUCUAGAACUUCUUCAAGUUUAAUUUUCUUUCCAUUGCCUCUUUUUAGGAUAAACUCUUUUUCCAUAAAAGUGGCAUGUUUACUAACAGAAAUCUUUUAUUCAAUAGGGUGGUAAAAGAGGUAUUCUAUACUCUCUUUAAAAUAACUUACAAAUAAGUAUUUAUCUGCCCUAGCACUCAGCUU